AGAUUGAACGCUGGCGGCAUGCUUUACACAUGCAAGUCGAACGGUAACAGGCCGCAAGGUGCUGACGAGUGGCGAACGGGUGAGUAAUGUAUCGGAACGUGCCCAGUCGUGGGGGAUAACGCAGCGAAAGCUGCGCUAAUACCGCAUACGAUCUAUGGAUGAAAGCGGGGGGACCGUAAGGCCUCGCGCGAUUGGAGCGGCCGAUAUCAGAUUAGGUAGUUGGUGGGGUAAAGGCUCACCAAGCCAACGAUCUGUAGCUGGUCUGAGAGGACGACCAGCCACACUGGGACUGAGACACGGCCCAGACUCCUACGGGAGGCAGCAGUGGGGAAUUUUGGACAAUGGGCGCAAGCCUGAUCCAGCAAUGCCGCGUGCAGGAAGAAGGCCUUCGGUGUAAACUGCUUUUGUACGGAGCGAAAGGUCCUGGUUAAUACUGGGACUAAUGACGUACCGUAAGAAUAAGCACCGGCUAACGUACGUGCCAGCAGCCGA
Molecule: ribosomal RNA, 492 nt
Filed under: uncultured soil bacterium
Lineage: Bacteria
Description: bacterial SSU rRNA
Rfam family: Bacterial small subunit ribosomal RNA
Source: RNAcentral